UAAAGAUUGCUUUUAUAGAUUUAAAAUUUGAUUAUGGUUUUUGAAUUGUUAAAAUAAUAUUAUUUAAGUUUAAUUUAUUUAGUGGGCAAUGUUAAUUUACCCCGGUAAUUAAUUAUUUGUAUAAUACUUGUUCCAGAAUAAUCGGCUAGGCUUGUUAAAAUUUAAACUUUAUUUUGUUUUAAUUAUAAUUUUAGUUAAUAAUUUAUUUAAUUAUAGGUUAAAUUUUAAUUAAUUGAAAGUUAAGAAUUAUAAUUUUAAGUUUUGGGAAACGAAUUAGAUUAGUACCUAAUUAGUCAAAAGUUAAAAGAGCAGAAGUAAAGUGGUAUUUAAACUGAAAGAAUAUUGGCAGAUUUUCUAAAUUAUCUUUGGAGGUUGAGUAAUAAUUGAGAACCCUCAUUAACUACUUUUUUGUUAGUCUCAUGUAUGAUCGUUUAUUUUAUGCUUAAGGUACAUAAUAAAAAAUUUUUGUUUAGUAAAAUAGAUAUAUAUUUGGUUUAUGUAAAAGUUUAAUUUGACCUACAAUAGUUUAUGUUUGUGGAUUUGCAGUUUAGUAAUUGUAAUGAAAAUGUAAAAGACAGUAAAAAAAUUUUUAUGAUUUUUUGAAGAUUAUUUAGAUGUGGUACAAAUCAUCCAUCAAUUGCCCAAAGGGGAGUAAGUUGUAGUAAAGUAGAUUUAGGGGAAUCUUAAUCUAAUAAU
RNAcentral lists this non-coding RNA (696 nucleotides) under Ancylostoma duodenale. The record is from RNAcentral. Lineage: Eukaryota; Metazoa; Nematoda; Chromadorea; Rhabditida; Ancylostomatidae.